CCUUCUUUCACUAACUCAUCAGAGCUGGAGGGACAGAAACAGAGACACACACAUGUUGCACCUGAUGGGAAUUAUCGUCGGCCUCCUCUUCAUCAUCAUGUGUUUUUCAAAAGGACUCAAAGAGGGAAAUAAAACUCUAAGAUCACCGCUCACAGAAUCAUCUGCCAACAAGAAGGAUCUGAGUGAGGAAGACGUUCAGUUGUUGGCUCGGAUCCUCUCG
Long non-coding RNA from Labrus bergylta (ballan wrasse), 220 nucleotides. RefSeq lists it as uncharacterized. The record is from RefSeq and is a predicted model, not a curated record. Lineage: Eukaryota; Metazoa; Chordata; Actinopteri; Labriformes; Labridae.